ACGAUCAUAAAUUAGCUCACGAGUCAUAAAUCGACUUGUGAAAAUAAUUAGAGAAUGUGUCAAUAGGACUUCAAAAUUGAUUAAUGUAUGAUGGAAAGUACGAUUAUAUGUCACAUUCACGGUGCAUACAUGCAUAGAAGAUAAUCAAGCUGAUAGAAGGACCCGUUACUUAAUUUAUGAAAAUCUCUAAUGAGUGAAGUCGAACAUUAUUCUUUGUUCUUAAAUGUUAUUAAUUAUGUUAUUUAUGAGAUUAAUUACUGAUAAUUAACUCUUUUCUAACACUUCCAUUACUUAUUACAAUUUGAUUAACUUAUUCUUUCAGCUACUAUUUAUCUUUAACAUCAAUAUUACUGGAAUAAGGCUGACUCAAGAUAUUUUAAUUCAUUAUUCGCUUAGUAUAUUUAUUUUGGCAUUAGUUUAUUUCUUAUUGCGUAAUAGUUCACCUGCCUCUGUCGAAAUAAUAUUUCUUAUCUUUUAAAUUUGGCGUAUAAAUUCAAUUAUAUGUAUUUUUUUAAUAGUAAACAUUAAUGUCUUGUCCAGAUGUACCUAGAGUUAUUACUAUUAUUUUCUACGUGUUAUGAUUUGAUACAAUCAUGUAUAUAAUAAGAUAAUAUUAGUAACAUGUAUGAUGAGAUUUUAAAGUACAUUCUAUGUAUUACAAAACUAUUAUUUCAAUAUCGUAUAAUAUUAUUUGUAUUAUUAAUUUCAUUGAAAUAUGAUAUGUAAUUUGCUAGAAUAUUAAUAAUAUGUUUUUGUGUAAGGGCAAUAUGGACAGCUAAUAAAGAAAAGAUUGUUGCCGUUGUUUUACUUGAAACAAGAGGUGCGUUGGACACCCGGCACCCAAGUGGACCCCAUUUAUUCGUCGCCACAAGUCACCUCUCUGUGUUACGUAGGUGUUUAUAUUACUCUACCUUUUUUUUUGGAUUCUUUCGUCGAGCCACGUGAAACUGAUCCCACCAUCUAUAAGUAUGGUAUAGGAUGAAAGCGGAGUAUUUUAAUUUCCAUAAUUAGUGAACUCGAUAAGAGAUGGACAUAGAUAUUGAAAUUAAGUUUAUAAAUUAUAAUUUUGGUAUGUAUUUACAAAUUUAGGUAUUUGAUGUGAUAUUUACAUAUCCAAUAUUAUAUCUAAAUAUACAAUUACUUUGCAAUUAUAUAUAUAUAUA
RNAcentral lists this long non-coding RNA (1163 nucleotides) under Solanum tuberosum (potato). RNAcentral describes it as "long non-coding RNA (STUB_LNC007482)". Lineage: Eukaryota; Viridiplantae; Streptophyta; Magnoliopsida; Solanales; Solanaceae. The record is from RNAcentral.